This 353-nucleotide ribosomal RNA is filed under the name uncultured bacterium. Its description in RNAcentral is "bacterial SSU rRNA". It matches the Rfam family "Bacterial small subunit ribosomal RNA", at positions 29 to 409 of the family's 1533-position model. The record is from RNAcentral.
AAUGAACGCUGGCGGCAUGCCUAACACAUGCAAGUCGAACGAGACCUUCGGGUCUAGUGGCGCACGGGUGCGUAACGCGUGGGAAUCUGCCCUUGGGUUCGGAAUAACAGUUAGAAAUGACUGCUAAUACCGAAUGAUGUCGUAAGACCAAAGAUUUAUCGCCCAGGAUGAGCCCGCGUAAGAUUAGGUAGUUGGUGUGGUAAAGGCGCACCAAGCCGACGAUCUUUAGCUGGUCUGAGAGGAUGAUCAGCCACACUGGGACUGAGACACGGCCCAGACUCCUACGGGAGGCAGCAGUGGGGAAGUAUUGGACAAUGGGCGAAAGCCUGAUCCAGCAAUGCCGCGUGAGUGAU